RNAcentral lists this ribosomal RNA (315 nucleotides) under uncultured eukaryote. RNAcentral's name for it is "partial 18S ribosomal RNA". It matches the Rfam family "Eukaryotic small subunit ribosomal RNA", at positions 1470 to 1796 of the family's 1831-position model. The record is from RNAcentral.
CCCUUAGAUGUUCUGGGCUGCACGCGCGCUACACUGACGCACGCAACAGGUGCCUGCUCCGAGAGGACUGGGUAAUCAUUUGAGUGUGCGUCGUGAUGGGGAUAGAAUAUUGUAAUUAUUACUCUUCAACGAGGAAUUCCUAGUAAGCGCCAGUCAGCAGCUUGCGCUGAUUACGUCCCUGCCCUUUGUACACACCGCCCGACGCUCCUACCGAUGGGUGAUCCGGUGAAUGAUUCGGACUUCAGCGGCUCCCCUGGGGUGCGCCGGAGAAAGUUUUGUGAACCUUAUCACUUGGAGGAAGGAGAAGUCGUAACA